GCCCACCGAUGUAGUUAGGUCCCGGGGGGAGUCCAGAAUGGGGUCCCUUUUAAGCCCCGUGCCCUUCAGCAGGCCCUUCUGCUUCCUUUUGUGGCAGGUACGAAGAUCCUGACCUGGACGUGCAGUUGAGUACCGAGCUGGCAGAGUCUCUGCGGACGCUGAAGCCAGAGGGCAGCAUCCUGAGGGACCGGUUCAAGAGCCUGCAGAAGCGCAACCUCAUAGAGCCCCGGGAGCGUGCAAAGUUCAAGAGGAAAUACCGCCUGAAGUAUGUCGAAAAGCGUGCCUUCCGGGAGAUCACGUUGUAGAGCACGGAUUGCACCCGCGCAUCCCCGGAGCUCAUCCUGUCCCCUCGGGUUUCAUUAAAACUCUUGACAACCACACC
Molecule: long non-coding RNA, 382 nt
Filed under: Varanus komodoensis (Komodo dragon)
Lineage: Eukaryota; Metazoa; Chordata; Lepidosauria; Squamata; Varanidae
Description: lncRNA (ENSVKKG00000012786.1)
Source: RNAcentral